Molecule: ribosomal RNA, 420 nt
Filed under: Triticum aestivum (bread wheat)
Lineage: Eukaryota; Viridiplantae; Streptophyta; Magnoliopsida; Poales; Poaceae
Description: partial small subunit ribosomal RNA
Source: RNAcentral
GGGAACCCGAAGUGUUCAUUCUGUGGGGAGCGUGAAACUUCCCAACAUCUCUUUUUUACCUGUCCUGUAGCUAAGGUGACCUGGAGAGUUACUGCUUGCAUGCUCGACACUGAUUUGUGUCCGAACAGCUUGUGGCAGGCUUAUUCUUGGUGUUAUGUAUACUUCCCGAAUGGGGAGAUCUUUUACACGGUUGGCAUAUCUGCGCUUUGCUGGGCUAUCUGGACCUGUCGCAAUAGUGCUACGUUCGAAUCUAAGCAAUUGAAAACGCCUUUUGAAUGUUGUUUCUCUAUGUGCGUUUUUCUCUGUUAUUGGGCAGGUUUGUUGAAGCAGGAGGAUGCGGUGGAUCUGCGAGCAGGAGUAAACAUGUUGAAGAACAGUGCAUCGAGGAUGAUGCGCAUCUACACUACGACCAAAGACUGA